Molecule: transfer RNA, 54 nt
Filed under: Delma tincta
Lineage: Eukaryota; Metazoa; Chordata; Lepidosauria; Squamata; Pygopodidae
Description: partial tRNA-Cys
Source: RNAcentral
UCAAAUUGCAAGUUUGAAGACGUACCAUAGGUGGUACCGGGGCUUCUCCCGUUU